This 460-nucleotide ribosomal RNA is filed under the name uncultured bacterium. Its description in RNAcentral is "partial 16S ribosomal RNA". It matches the Rfam family "Bacterial small subunit ribosomal RNA", at positions 338 to 795 of the family's 1533-position model. The record is from RNAcentral.
CCUACUUUCUUCCGCCGUGCGGAAUAUUGGUCAAUGGCCGGAAGGCUUAACCAGCCAUGCCGCGUGAAGGUCAGUGCCCUAUGGGCGUUAAACUUCUUUUGUGCGGGAGCAAUAAUGGUCACGUGUGGCCAGACGAGAGUACCGUACGAAUAAGCAUCGGCUAACUCCGUUCCAGCAGCCGCGGUAAUACGGGGGAUGCAAGCGUUAUCCGGAUUUUUUGGGUUUAAAGGGUGCGUAGGCUGGGAGGUAAGUCAGCGGUGAAAUGCCCCCGCUCAACGGGGUGAAGUGCCAUUGAUACUGCCUUGCUGGAAUGCGGAUGCCGUGGGAGGAAUGUGUGGUGUAGCGGUGAAAUGCAUAGAUAUCACACAGAACACCGAUUGCGAAGGCAUCUCACGAAUCCGCGAUUGACGCUGAUGCACGAAAGCGUGGGUAUCAAACAGGAUUAGAUACCCCGGUAGUC